AUCGAACGCUGGCGGCAGGCCUAACACAUGCAAGUCGAGCGAGCGGCGGACGGGUGAGUAAUGCCUGGGAAUUGCCCAGUCGGGGGGUAUAACAGUUGGAAACGACUGCUAAUCCCGAAUACGCUUGGAUCGCCCAGGUGGGAUGAGCUAGUUGGUGAGGUAAUGGCACACCAAGGCGACGCUCCCUAGCUGGUCUGAGAGGAUGAUCAGCCACACUGGAACUGAGACACGGUCCAGACUCCUACGGGAGGCAGCAGUGGGGAAUAUGGCACAAUGGGCGAAAGCCUGAUGCAGCCAUGCCGCGUGUGUGAAGAAGGCCUUCGGGUUGUAAAGCACUUUCAGCGAGGAGGCGUUACUCGCAGAAGAAGCACCGGCUAACUCCGUGCCAGCAGCCGCGGUAAUAC
RNAcentral lists this ribosomal RNA (404 nucleotides) under uncultured bacterium. RNAcentral's name for it is "partial 16S ribosomal RNA". It matches the Rfam family "Bacterial small subunit ribosomal RNA", at positions 30 to 526 of the family's 1533-position model. The record is from RNAcentral.